GGUCAGUAAACAAUUUAUUGGGCUUCUACUAUGUUCCAGAAAGUAUUCUAGGCCUAGAGGACUGUGGCGAAAAAGACAAGCACUGCCUCUUCUCUUUUGGAACAGACAUAUCAGAGAAAGGAGAUGGAUAAUAUACAGGUCACUGGUGCCAGCUAGCAGAUUGUACACUGGAAGUCUUUCUGUGUCUCCGGCCAAAGACUGGUAAUCUCCCUGGUCAAUGCCGAGAUAACACACGUCAAGAGGCAGCAGUGGCUGUAAUCAAUAUCGAGGCUGCAAAGAACAAAGAGCUUUAUUUUGGGGUCUUAGGAACUGCAAUUCAGAAGACACAGAUUCAGGUAAAACUGAAAGAGUAUUCUGGGAAAGAGAAAAAGUCUUUAACAAGGUUAUUAAAGUUGCCAGGCGAGAAUUGUGAUUGACUCUGAUGCGGGUCGGGAGAUACUUGUCCUUUAAGGAAUCACAAGUUAUUUUAGGGUAAGGGUUUGAUAAGUAGAUAGGCUGUCACAUUAUUUUAGGGUAAGGAUCCAAUAGGUAUCUUCAGUAGGACAAUGAGUGAUCAAAACGUCAGAUUUUGUGCACGCUGAGACGUGCAGAAGUCCCACUUCCUCAAUGGCCGCCCGGCUCCAUAUUAGAGAGCUCUCUUAGCAACAUCGACUUGAUUUUGAUUGUCCUUUCAGUUUACCUGGGCAAGUGGCCAGGGGAGGCAGUGUUUAGCCUGACUUAGCGACUAGAGCUGAACAUGGAGUGGAAGAGGUGAGCUGCACAGUGUCCGUCUUGUGCCAACUUCCAACACAAGGGCACUGAGUCCAGAGGUGGCACAACAAUGUUUCAUCUUCUUGUUAUUGUGAAUUAAAAACUCCAGCAGAAGUCCUUCAUCUGGAAAAUAAUAUCUCGAGGGGGUCUUCAAGUUCAAGAAAGGUAUUUCCAAGAAGAUGUAGGACGCGGACUGCAGAGGAGAGGCCUCUGUUUCUGUGUGAGCAGUCAAGGGGUCAGGUGGGUCUUGAAAUGAUGCAACUCCUUCAUCCGGUCUCCUUCUUCCUUGGUCGGCCUUUGUCAAUAUCUUCGCUGAUUAGCAUGACUGCCAGAGAGUACAUGGAAGAACACUUGAAAAGCAACGUUCCUUGUGGGACAAUUAGCAGAAAAUGAUCAUUUGUUGUGAUUGUUUGAAAAGGGCUAACGGUGAAAGACAUUUCCUGAUGACCUAAAAUCCGGAAGUAUGCAGGAGCCUAUUGUUUUUCAGUCUGAGUUGAUAUUCCUCCCCUCCUAGCACUCUCAUUUUCCAUACUUCGGUUUUCUCAGCCCAGCCAUUGCCAGCAUUCUCUUGCAGCACGGGUGUUAAGGACUCCCAGAUUGUAGAAGGCUGUUAAAAAGAUAAGGAGCUGGCCAAGGAAGGUCACAGUGAAGGGAAGUAAGAAAUGGAAUCUUACCAAGGGUCAGUGGGUGGCACUCGGAAGAUUCCGGUGCACAUGAGUGACGGACUUGGGCAAAAGAGAAGACCAAGUGGGCAGCACAGACGCAGAGGAGCCUCAGCUCUGUCCAUGGGGCUCCGGGCCUCCACCCCUCCUCUUCCCGUCCGUCACAGGCUGAGUGCUUCCCCAAGGAACGGGGGAAUUAGAACAGGAUGUGUGUAACCCCCAAGGGA
Molecule: long non-coding RNA, 1639 nt
Organism: Physeter macrocephalus (sperm whale)
Lineage: Eukaryota; Metazoa; Chordata; Mammalia; Artiodactyla; Physeteridae
Exons: 3
Source: RefSeq, a predicted model, not a curated record